GACGAACGCUGGCGGCGUGCUUAACACAUGCAAGUCGAACGGGAAGGCCCUUCGGGGUACACGAGUGGCGAACGGGUGAGUAACACGUGGGUGAUCUGCCCUGCACCUCGGGAUAAGCCUGGGAAACUGGGUCUAAUACCGGAUAGGACCACUGCCUGCAUGGGUGGUGGUGGAAAGCUUUUGCGGUGUGGGAUGGGCCCGCGGCCUAUCAGCUUGUUGGUGGGGUGAUGGCCUACCAAGGCGACGACGGGUAGCCGGCCUGAGAGGGUGACCGGCCACACUGGGACUGAGAGACGGCCCAGACUCCUACGGGAGGCAGCAGUGGGGAAUAUUGCACAAUGGGCGCAAGCCUGAUGCAGCGACGCCGCGUGAGGGAUGACGGCCUUCGGGUUGUAAACCUCUUUCAGCACCGACGAAGCGCAAGUGACGGUAGGUGCAGAAGAAGGACCGGCCAACUACGUGCCAGCCGCCGCAGUAA
RNAcentral lists this ribosomal RNA (478 nucleotides) under uncultured bacterium. RNAcentral describes it as "partial 16S ribosomal RNA". It matches the Rfam family "Bacterial small subunit ribosomal RNA", at positions 28 to 523 of the family's 1533-position model. The record is from RNAcentral.